AUUAUUUUUAUGCUUGAACAGGGUCACAUAGCUGAAAAUGGGAAAGAAUAAGAAACGAGAGCUGGUGAGUGCCUCUAAGGAGGAGCUGAUGGUGAUCACAGUGUCUGAGAUAGUCAGUGAGCUCAUCAAGGCACAUGAGCAGAGCAGAGACAUCAACCUUAACAGAGUGAAGACCAAGAUUGCCAGCAAGUAUGGUCUCUCCAGCCAGCCCAGAUUGGUGGACAUCAUUGCAGCCGUGCCACAACAGUACAAAAAGGUGCUGCUGCCUAAGCUUAAAGCCAAACCUGUUCGGACUGCAAGUGGGAUUGCUGUAGUAGCAGUUAUGUGUAAACCCCACAGAUGUCCACACAUAGCCAUGACUGGAAAUAUUUGUGUGUACUGCCCGGGUGGGCCUGACUCAGAUUUUGAAUACUCCACCCAAUCCUACACAGGCUACGAGCCCACCUCAAUGCGUGCAAUACGGGCCAGAUACAACCCUUAUCUUCAAACGAGGCACAGGGUGGAUCAGUUGAAGCAGUUGGGCCACAGUGUUGACAAGGUAGAGUUUAUUGUGAUGGGUGGGACGUUCAUGUGCCUGUCAGAUGAAUACAGGGACUUCUUUAUCCGCAACCUCCAUGAUGCCUUGUCAGGUCACACCAGCAGCUCCGUGGACGAGGCUGUCAAGUAUUCAGAAAGGAGUAAGACCAAGUGCAUUGGUAUCACCAUAGAAACUAGACCAGAUUACUGUCUCCGAAAACACAUCAGUGACAUGUUGAAGUACGGCUGCACUCGUCUGGAGAUUGGUGUACAGAGUGUCUACGAGGAUGUGGCCCGGGACACUAACAGAGGUCACACUGUGAGGGCUGUUUGCGAGAGUUUCCAGAUGUCCAAGGACGCUGGGUUCAAGGUGGUGUCUCACAUGAUGCCUGACCUUCCAAACGUGGGCCUGGAGAGAGACAUUGAGCAGUUUAUGGAAUUCUUUGAGAAUCCAGCCUUCCGACCGGAUGGCUUGAAAAUCUACCCAACUCUUGUCAUCCGUGGAACAGGUCUGUAUGAGUUGUGGAAAACUGGGCGCUACAAGAGUUAUCCCCCUUCAACAUUGAUUGAUCUGGUUGCAAGAAUAUUGGCCUUGGUACCGCCAUGGACGAGGGUGUACAGAGUACAAAGGGACAUUCCGAUGCCGCUGGUCAGUUCGGGUGUGGAGCACGGCAAUCUCCGCGAGUUGGCACUGGCGCGGAUGAAGGAUCUGGGAACACAAUGUCGUGACGUGCGCACCAGAGAAGUGGGCAUACAGGAAAUACAUCACAAAGUGAAACCUUAUGAGGCAGAGUUAAUAAGACGAGACUACGUAGCCAAUGGAGGAUGGGAGACGUUCCUGUCAUAUGAAGACCCGGAGCAGGACAUUCUGAUUGGUCUUUUGAGGCUGCGUAAAUGUUCAGAGGAUACGUUCCGCCCCGAACUGAAGGACGGGGUGUCUAUCGUGCGAGAGCUGCACGUAUAUGGCAGCGUGGUGCCAGUGCAUGCUCGAGAUCCCACAAAGUUCCAACACCAGGGCUUUGGGAUGAUGCUGAUGGAGGAAGCAGAGAGAAUAGCCAGGGAAGAGCAUGGCUCACAUAAAAUAGCUGUCAUAUCAGGUAAGGGAGGAGCAUGGCUCACAUAAAAUAGCUGUCAUAUCAGGUAAGGGAGGAGCAUGGCUCACAUAAAAUAGCUGUCAUAUCAGGUAAGGGAGGAGCAUGGCUCACAUAAAAUAGCUGUCAUAUCAGGGGUUGGCACCAGAAAUUACUACCGCAAGAUUGGAUAUGAGCUGGAUGGACCUUACAUGUCAAAAUCCUUGUAAACCGGCUCCAGAGUUACUGCAGUUCGAGUUAAAAUUUUACUUGUCACUGGAACCAUAGAACAUUCUUGAAUGAGUAAAUACCAGAGCUAUGAGGAAUUUGCGAUAAGCAUCUUGAUCAGUGCUAUGUGUGAAAAAAUAUAUCUGAAUUCUCUGAACGAACAGUUCCCACAGCAGAAGUGUUAUUUAUAUGGACUCAAAAGGCAUGUACAUGGGCCAUAUGGCUGUUUUUUGGAAAUGUAUUUAAAUGUGUAGCGAUGGGAGUUGUAAUAAAAUAACACAAAAUA
This is an RNA transcript of Dreissena polymorpha, 2100 nucleotides long. It is a transcript of the gene named elongator complex protein 3, with no coding region annotated. The record is from RefSeq and is a predicted model, not a curated record. NCBI's taxonomy places the organism in Eukaryota, Metazoa, Mollusca, Bivalvia, Myida, Dreissenidae. The transcript is spliced from 18 exons.